GAUCUCAAAUCAGGUAGGCUACCCGCUGAACUUAAGCAUAUCAAUAAG
This 48-nucleotide ribosomal RNA is filed under the name uncultured Thelephoraceae. Its description in RNAcentral is "partial 28S ribsomal RNA". The record is from RNAcentral. Lineage: Eukaryota; Fungi; Basidiomycota; Agaricomycetes; Thelephorales; Thelephoraceae.